Ciona savignyi (Pacific transparent sea squirt) is the source of this 73-nucleotide non-coding RNA. The record is from Rfam. NCBI's taxonomy places the organism in Eukaryota, Metazoa, Chordata, Ascidiacea, Phlebobranchia, Cionidae.
GCCCGGUUAGCUCAGCCGGUAGAGCGUUGGACUUUUAAUCCAACGGUCAAAGGAUCAAGUCCCUUAUCGGGCU